This 491-nucleotide ribosomal RNA is filed under the name earthworm cast bacterium NC8. RNAcentral's name for it is "bacterial SSU rRNA". It matches the Rfam family "Bacterial small subunit ribosomal RNA", at positions 37 to 545 of the family's 1533-position model. The record is from RNAcentral.
UGGCGGCGUGCUUAACACAUGCAAGUCGAACGAUGAAGCCUUUCGGGGUGGAUUAAGUGGCGAACGGGUGAGUAACACGUGGGCAAUCUGCCCUUCACUCUGGGACAAGCCCUGGAAACGGGGUCUAAUACCGGAUAACACUCUGUCCCGCAUGGGACGGGGUUGAAAGCUCCGGCGGUGAAGGAUGAGCCCGCGGCCUAUCAGCUUGUUGGUGGGGUAAUGGCCUACCAAGGCGACGACGGGUAGCCGGCCUGAGAGGGCGACCGGCCACACUGGGACUGAGACACGGCCCAGACUCCUACGGGAGGCAGCAGUGGGGAAUAUUGCACAAUGGGCGAAAGCCUGAUGCAGCGACGCCGCGUGAGGGAUGACGGCCUUCGGGUUGUAAACCUCUUUCAGCAGGGAAGAAGCGAAAGUGACGGUACCUGCAGAAGAAGCGCCGCUAACUACGUGCCAGCAGCCGCGGUAAUACGUAGGGCGCAAGCGUUGUC